RNAcentral lists this ribosomal RNA (465 nucleotides) under Vreelandella stevensii. RNAcentral's name for it is "partial 16S ribosomal RNA". It matches the Rfam family "Bacterial small subunit ribosomal RNA", at positions 338 to 795 of the family's 1533-position model. Lineage: Bacteria; Pseudomonadati; Pseudomonadota; Gammaproteobacteria; Oceanospirillales; Halomonadaceae. The record is from RNAcentral.
CCUACGGGGGGCAGCAGUGGGGAAUAUUGGACAAUGGGGGCAACCCUGAUCCAGCCAUGCCGCGUGUGUGAAGAAGGCCCUCGGGUUGUAAAGCACUUUCAGUGAGGAAGAACGCCUGGUGGUUAAUACCCAUCAGGAAAGACAUCACUCACAGAAGAAGCACCGGCUAACUCCGUGCCAGCAGCCGCGGUAAUACGGAGGGUGCGAGCGUUAAUCGGAAUUACUGGGCGUAAAGCGCGCGUAGGUGGCUUGAUAAGCCGGUUGUGAAAGCCCCGGGCUCAACCUGGGAACGGCAUCCGGAACUGUCAAGCUAGAGUGCAGGAGAGGAAGGUAGAAUUCCCGGUGUAGCGGUGAAAUGCGUAGAGAUCGGGAGGAAUACCAGUGGCGAAGGCGGCCUUCUGGACUGACACUGACACUGAGGUGCGAAAGCGUGGGUAGCAAACAGGAUUAGAUAGCCGUGUAGUC